RNAcentral lists this transfer RNA (69 nucleotides) under Squalus acanthias (spiny dogfish). RNAcentral describes it as "transfer RNA-Trp". It matches the Rfam family "tRNA". From Rfam's summary of the family: Transfer RNA (tRNA) molecules are approximately 80 nucleotides in length. Lineage: Eukaryota; Metazoa; Chordata; Chondrichthyes; Squaliformes; Squalidae. RNAcentral also lists the same sequence under 2 other names. The record is from RNAcentral.
AGAAAUUUAGGCUAAAUAGACCAAAAGCCUUCAAAGCUUUCAGUAGGAGUGAAAAUCCCCUAAUUUCUG